CAGUAGCCGCGGGAAUACGAAGGGGGCUAGCGUUGUUCGGAUUUACUGGGCGUAAAGCGCACGUAGGCGGACUUUUAAGUCAGGGGUGAAAUCCCGGGGCUCAACCCCGGAACUGCCUUUGAUACUGGAAGUCUUGAGUAUGGUAGAGGUGAGUGGAAUUCCGAGUGUAGAGGUGAAAUUCGUAGAUAUUCGGAGGAACACCAGUGGCGAAGGCGGCUCACUGGACCAUUACUGACGCUGAGGUGCGAAAGCGUGGGGAGCAAACAGGAUUAGAUACCCCCGUAGUCCCUGUCUCUUAACA
This 301-nucleotide ribosomal RNA is filed under the name uncultured bacterium. RNAcentral's name for it is "partial 16S ribosomal RNA". It matches the Rfam family "Bacterial small subunit ribosomal RNA", at positions 509 to 808 of the family's 1533-position model. The record is from RNAcentral.